CUUUUCCCUCACAACACCAGCAGCAUUACAACACACCGUCAUUUUAUUAUGACAGUACGAAACUUUGGCCAGGAACCAUCUACAAAUACAUAUCAGGUUCUAAUGAGGCGUUAAUGUCUGUGAGAAGCAAAACAAGGCAUGAUGGAUGCAAAAUUUACAGAGCGAUGUACAAUCUGAUAUACUGAUAGUGACCUAUAGACAUAAAUACCAGGACAGGAAGCAAGGCAGCUUCUACGGGGCCCAGCAGCUAAAAGGAAGGAUUAGAAAAGAGCAUUAAAAAUAACUCUGAUAACAAUAGCGGAAGGUAUAGGCAGCCGUGUGGGAAAUACCUGGGCCUUACAUUGUAAUCCUCCUGCAAAGACAAGUGUAAGGCUGAUUAAUGGCGCCAAACACUGACACUCGCAAAAAUGCCGCAGUCACAAAUCUCAGCCUGGAAGAGAAGGUUCUGUAGAGCAUGGCAGACGCCGACUUUCAGCCACGUCGAAAGAAGGAGCUUUGAACGUUUAACUUUCAUGUGUGAAGAAUUCCUCGCGCGUGGUCCGUUCAUCAAGUUGCACGGGUAGCCUCGCCUCGGGCGAUUUUUUUUUAGAGAUGGGGGAAGAAAAAAGUAUGACAUUUCUACGACCGGAGACAACUAGAAGAAAGUGAAAGGGCUUCGAAUAGGAAUGAAUUGACUUUCUCUGCCCGCCCCCCCUCCUAUCAGUGAUGCUACGUCUGUGUGCAGGUAAAGCAUGGAUUAAGCAAGGUACUUACUUAUGAUAAGAUGCUGCGGAUAAAUUGUUUGGGACCCUCAAGACUCCUCAACUACGCCAUUCACUGAAGUGUCGAACUUUUCCGUGGACACCGGCUGCCAUAAUUCCUAUCAAGAAUUGACCAGAAUUUUCCAGUGAAUAGGUGAUGUUAUGGUAACACAUGGUCUCGUGUGCCUCCGAGUCUGAAGGAGUUGCUGCUUUCUGUCCUGGAGUUGGAACAAAGUUGCAAAAGCUUAUCAGAAUCAUAUGUACCACUACAGGCUACUAUGCAGAAGACUUUAUCCGGACCUGAGGGACCUACUUCUUACUUCUUUUCUUCUGAACUUUCCACUUGGCUUAGGGUGAUGAACGUUUCCAGUUGGAAGCCAGCCUACAGAGUUUUCUUUAGGGAAUUUACAAAACUCAGAAACUGCUCAAGUAAACAUCUAUAUUGUUAACACACUUAAAGGGGUAUUCCAGUCAUACACAUCUUAUCCCCUAUCCAAAGGGGGCCCCCCUUGUGAUGUCACAAUACGCCCCCCCCCCCCCUCCAUUCAUGUCUAUGGGAGUGGGUGUGACAACCAUCACGCCCUCUUCCAUAGACAUAAAUGGAGGGGACGGGGCGUGACAUCGCAUCUCCAGUCCCGGAAACACAGAGGUUUCUGACACUGGAGAAGCAGUUGGGUGCUGCACGGAGAUUGCGGAGGGUCCCCUUUGGAUAGGGGAUAAGAUGUCUGUGGCGAGAAUACCACUUUAACUUCUUCAGUACGAUCUACCAUCUGUCAUCAUCUACCUAAGGUACUUUUUUGUUGGAACUGUUUAAUACGUUUGCUAAAAGUUACGCAUUAUAAUAAACAUCCUUUGAAUCUUGGGUUAUACUGUACACUUAACAUCACAGGUCUUCCACACACCAUCAGCAAUUGUCACCAGUGUGGUGUCCCGGUACCGUAUGGCAUACAAUACCUAGUGUAAAGGUCCCCAAAGUCAGAGUAACUACGUUCAGGUAGGGUUCCUCAGGUGGGACAGCCCCUAGUCCCCUCUCCUUAAGUUUAACUUGUAUAUUAAUAAAUGGAUAUAUUAGUAAUUCUAUCUAUAUUAUAUAGGAAUGUAUAGUACUUACCUUGUUCAGCGUCGCAGGGCCCUCGGUCAUGUGACCAAGCUAGUAACCUCUAUGGUAUGUUGCAGGACCUUAGGAGGUCCUUGGGUCACGUGUUACCCAGCAUUCUCUGUAAUGGUGAUUGACAUCCGUAUAGGACCAAUUAGCUUUCGUCCAGCCCCUGCCCAUAUAAGGUAGCUGCGUCCAAUUAUCGCUCUCUUGGGUUGCUGCUCUCGUAAAUGCCGGACUAACAGGACGGUGUGCUGCGCAACACGACACGCUAGGACUCAAAACCUACGGCCUCAGCAGAACCAAAAAUCAUGACUCAUACUAAUUCCUGCUAAUACUAGCCUGACUACUGGACCGCAACUAAUUCUCUAAAUCCAGUGGAGCAGCGCAAUAGUCUAGAGACUCCUAAAGCUAAAGUCCCAACCAUUGUCAAUCUCCAAAAGGAAGCUAUAUUGAUGAGAGACUGUUAUUGUUACGCCGAGCGCUCCGGGUCCCCGCUCCUCCCCGGAGCGCUCGCUACACUCUCCCCACUGCAGCGCUCCGUUCAGAUCCACUGACCCGGGGCGCUGCGAUUCCGCUUCCAGCCGGGAUGCGAUUCGCGAUGCGGGUAGCGCCCGCUCGCGAUGUGCACCCCGGCUCCCGUACCUGACUCGCUCUCCCUCGGUCCUGUCCCGGCGCGCGCGGCCCCGCUCCCUAGGGCGCGCGCGCGCCGGGUCUUUGCGUUUUAAAGGGCCACUGCGCCGCUGAUUGGCGCAGUGAUUCCAAUUAGUGUGUUCACCUGUGCACUUCCCUAUAUCACCUCACUUCCCCUGCACUCCCUUGCCGGAUCUUGUUGCCAUCGUGCCAGUGAAAGCGUUUCCUUGUGUGUUCCUAGCCUGUGUUCCAGACCUCCUGCCGUUGCCCCUGACUACGAUCCUUGCUGCCUGCCCCGACCUUCUGCUACGUCCGACCUUGCUUCUGUCUACUCCCUUGUACCGCGCCUAUCUUCAGCAGUCAGAGAGGUUGAGCCGUUGCUAGUGGAUACGACCUGGUCACUACCGCCGCAGCAAGUCCAUCCCGCUUUGCGGCGGGCUCUGGUGAAAACCAGUAGUGACUUAGAACCGAUCCACUAGCACGGUCCACGCCAAUCCCUCUCUGGCACAGAGGAUCCACUACCUGCCAGCCGGCACCGUGACAGUAGAUCCGGCCAUGGAUCCCGCUGAAGUUCCUCUGCCAGUUGUCGCUGACCUCACCACGGUGGUCGCCCAGCAGUCACAACAGAUAGCGCAACAAGGCCAACAGCUGUCUCAACUGACCGUGAUGCUACAGCAGUUACUACCACAGCUUCAGCAAUCAUCUCCUCCGCCAGCUCCUGCACCUCCUCCGCAGCGAGUGGCCGCCUCUGGUCUACGCCUAUCCUUGCCGGAUAAAUUUGAUGGGGACUCUAAGUUUUGCCGUGGCUUUCUUUCCCAAUGUUCCCUGCACCUGGAGAUGAUGUCGGACCAGUUUCCCACUGAAAGGUCUAAGGUGGCUUUCGUAGUCAGCCUUCUGUCUGGAAAAGCCCUGUCUUGGGCCACACCGCUCUGGGACCGCAAUGACCCCGUCACUGCCUCUGUACACUCCUUCUUCUCGGAAAUCCGAAGUGUCUUUGAGGAACCUGCCCGAGCCUCUUCUGCUGAGACUGCCCUGUUGAACCUGGUCCAGGGUAAUUCUUCCGUUGGCGAGUAUGCCGUACAAUUCCGUACUCUUGCUUCAGAAUUAUCCUGGAAUAAUGAGGCCCUCUGCGCGACCUUUAAAAAAGGCCUAUUCAGCAACAUUAAAGAUGUUCUGGCCGCACGAGAAAUCCCUGCUAAUCUACAUGAACUCAUUCACCUAGCCACUCGCAUUGACAUGCGUUUUUCCGAAAGGCGUCAGGAGCUCCGCCAAGAUAUG
This is a long non-coding RNA of Hyla sarda, 3747 nucleotides long. RefSeq lists it as uncharacterized. NCBI's taxonomy places the organism in Eukaryota, Metazoa, Chordata, Amphibia, Anura, Hylidae. The transcript is spliced from 7 exons. The record is from RefSeq and is a predicted model, not a curated record.